GAGAGUGAGGUCACAGCUAAUCUUGCUGUGCAUCACGUCGUUAACGGUAGUUGGCGGCGUUUAUUUUACUGCUGCCAACACGGAAUGUCAGUCUGCUGCGACCCGCCACUAAAAUAAAGAGAUGAAGCGUCACUGUUUCAGGAGCAGCAAUGGAGGAUCCGCAGGUGGUUGGAGUGCUUAGUGAGGUGAAACGCUGUACAGCUAAAACACGGUUUACAAACAGGGAAGUAAUUUGAGUUGGCUUUCAUCGGCCCAUGGGCACAUGAGGAUCCGCUUCGGAUGAUGAGCGCUACUGAUGUUGGGAGCCUUUCAGCUUGAGAGCGGCACGCCGUUUGGCUGUAUCCUGUUGGAGGGAUGCAAGGGACGGAUCACUCACCUCAUCUUUAUCCAGCCAUUUCAGAAUAAUGUGAGCUGUAUCAGUGGAAACUUGUCUCCUGAGAGAGUCCUGUUCUUCCUCACUCUUCUGACCCUCCAGGAUUGCUCGGAGGGCCUCUGUCAGCUGAAGAGCUUUGAGGGUAGGGUCCACAGGAGCGGGGAGGCUCAGCUGUGAGGGACUCUCUGAUGAAUGGUAAUCCUGGCCUUCUAAUCGCAUGAGAGCACUGAACAGCCCUUCACCCAUUUUGCCUAGGGGAAUUCAGAACAACAGGAAAUCAAGUGAAGAGUAAACAAAAAAAUAAAUGAGAAUUUUUAUUA
This is a long non-coding RNA of Cheilinus undulatus (humphead wrasse), 693 nucleotides long. RefSeq lists it as uncharacterized. The transcript has 2 exons. The record is from RefSeq and is a predicted model, not a curated record. NCBI's taxonomy places the organism in Eukaryota, Metazoa, Chordata, Actinopteri, Labriformes, Labridae.